GUGCCAGCAGCCGCGGUAAUACGGAGGGUGCAAGCGUUGUCCGGAAUCACUGGGCGUAAAGCGCACGUAGGCGGAUCAGAAAGUUGGGGGUGAAAUCCCGGGGCUCAACCCCGGAACUGCCUCCAAAACUACUGGUCUAGAGUUCGAGAGAAGUGAGUGGAAUUCCGAGUGUAGAGGUGAAAUUCGUAGAUAUUCGGAGGAACACCAGUGGCGAAGGCGGCUCACUGGCUCGAUACUGACGCUGAGGUGCGAAAGUGUGGGGAGCAAACAGGAUUAGAAACCCCGGUAGUCC
This 292-nucleotide ribosomal RNA is filed under the name uncultured bacterium. RNAcentral describes it as "partial 16S ribosomal RNA". It matches the Rfam family "Bacterial small subunit ribosomal RNA", at positions 505 to 796 of the family's 1533-position model. The record is from RNAcentral.